RNAcentral lists this ribosomal RNA (468 nucleotides) under uncultured bacterium. RNAcentral describes it as "partial 16S ribosomal RNA". It matches the Rfam family "Bacterial small subunit ribosomal RNA", at positions 28 to 507 of the family's 1533-position model. The record is from RNAcentral.
GACGAACGCUGGCGGCGUGCUUAACACAUGCAAGUCGAACGGAAAGGCCCUGCUGUUGUGGGGUGCUCGAGUGGCGAACGGGUGAGUAACACGUGAGUAACCUGACCUAGACUUUGGGAUAACUUCAGGAAACUGGGGCUAAUACCGGAUAGGAGCUCCUGCUGCAUGGUGGGGGUUGGAAAGUUUCGGCGGGUGGGUAUGGACUCGCGGCUUAUCAGCUUGUUGGUGGGGUAGUGGCUUACCAAGGCUUUGACGGGUAGCCGGCCUGAGAGGGUGACCGGCCACAGUGGGACUGGGAUGCGGCCAAGACUCCUACGGGAGGCAGCGGUGAGGAAUAGUGCACGAUGGGCGGAAGCCUGAUGCAGCAACGCCGCGUGCGGGAUGACGGCCUUCGGGUUGUAAACCGCUUUCGCCUGUGACGAAGCGUGAGUGACGGUAAUGGGUAAAGAAGCACCGGCUAACUACGUG